GGGGAUUUAGCUCAGUGGUAGAGCGCUUGCCUAGCAAGCGCAAGGCCCUGGGUUCGGUCCCAAGCUCCG
Molecule: non-coding RNA, 69 nt
Organism: Rattus norvegicus (Norway rat)
Lineage: Eukaryota; Metazoa; Chordata; Mammalia; Rodentia; Muridae
Source: Rfam